RNAcentral lists this ribosomal RNA (407 nucleotides) under uncultured bacterium. RNAcentral's name for it is "partial 16S ribosomal RNA". It matches the Rfam family "Bacterial small subunit ribosomal RNA", at positions 30 to 526 of the family's 1533-position model. The record is from RNAcentral.
AUUGAACGCUGGCGGCAGGCCUAAAACAUGCCAGUCGCGCUGCGCGGCUGACGGGUGAGUAAUGCCUAGGAAUCUGCCUGGUAGUGGGGGCUAACGUCCGGAAACGGGCGCUAAUACCGCAUUCUAUCAGAUGAGCCUAGGUCGGAUUAGCUAGUUGGUGGGGUAAAGGCCUACCAAGGCGACGACCCGUAACUGGUCUGAGAGGAUGAUCAGUCACACUGGAACUGAGACACGGUCCAGACUCCUACGGGAGGCAGCAGUGGGGAAUAUUGGACAAUGGGCGAAAGCCUGAUCCAGCCAUGCCGCGUGUGUGAAGAAGGUCUUCGGAUUGUAAAGCACUUUAAGUUGGGAGGCGUUACCAACAGAAUAAGCACCGGCUAACUUCGUGCCAGCAGCCGCGGUAAUUC